Molecule: ribosomal RNA, 253 nt
Filed under: uncultured bacterium
Lineage: Bacteria
Description: partial 16S ribosomal RNA
Rfam family: Bacterial small subunit ribosomal RNA
Source: RNAcentral
UACGUAGGGGGCAAGCGUUGUCCGGAAUCAUUGGGCGUAAAGCGCGUGUAGGCGGUUCGAUAAGUCUGCUGUGAAAGUUCAGGGCUCAACCCUGGAAUGCCGGUGGAAACUGUCGAGCUAGAGUCCGGAAGAGGCGAGUGGAAUUCCUGGUGUAGCGGUGAAAUGCGCAGAUAUCAGGAGGAACACCAAUGGCGAAGGCAGCUCGCUGGGACGGUACUGACGCUGAGACGCGAAAGCGUGGGGAGCAAACAGG